UGUUGCAGUUAAAAAGCUCGUAGUUGAACCUUGGGUCUGGCUGGUCGGUCCGCCUCACCGCGAGUACUGAUCCGGCUGGACCUUUCCUUCUGGGGAACCUCAUGGCCUUCACUGGCUGUGGGGGGAACCAGGACUUUUACUGUGAAAAAAUUAGAGUGUUCAAAGCAGGCUCGACGCCGGAAUAUAUUAGCAUGGAAUAAUAAAAUAGGACGUGCGGUUCUAUUUUGUUGGUUUUUGGAAUCGCCGUAAUGAUUAAUAGGGACAGUCGGGGGCAUUAGUACUCACAUGCUAGAGGUGAAAUUCUUGGAUUUUGUGAAGACUAACUUCUGCGAAAGCAUUUGCCAAGGAUGUUUUCAUUAAUCAAGAACGAAGGUUAGGGUAUCGAAAACGAUUAGAUACCGUUGUAGUCUUAACAGUAAACUAUGCCGACUAGGGAUCGGACGGGAUUC
RNAcentral lists this ribosomal RNA (449 nucleotides) under uncultured Phaeocystis. RNAcentral's name for it is "partial Eukaryotic small subunit ribosomal RNA". It matches the Rfam family "Eukaryotic small subunit ribosomal RNA", at positions 611 to 1065 of the family's 1831-position model. Lineage: Eukaryota; Haptophyta; Phaeocystales; Phaeocystaceae. The record is from RNAcentral.